Long non-coding RNA from Lates calcarifer (barramundi perch), 918 nucleotides. RefSeq lists it as uncharacterized. The record is from RefSeq and is a predicted model, not a curated record. Lineage: Eukaryota; Metazoa; Chordata; Actinopteri; Centropomidae. The transcript is spliced from 4 exons.
GAGACCUAAGUUACAGAACUAUGUGCCCGCUUGCGCAUGCCCAUUUCCGGUUGGCGCGCAUCUACCACUUUAAGCAGAGGCCAACUCGGGGAGCGGUCAAAGCCAGCACAGAAGGUGAAGUUGACUUCGUGGUAUGAGAACCUGGUAAAUGAAAAACGAACACAGAAGAAAGUCCAGAGAAAUUGUGGAAGAACAGCCUGCAGUCAAAAGGAUGAUGGAACGUUGGCCUGUGCUGUUCACACAAAGUCAGGUAUGGUCCACCUACACUUGCACUAUACUGAACCACACCAUAAGUAAUCAUCAUUUUCAUUGUAGAUUACUCUUUUCAUUAGAUUAUUUUAAUGAUUAAUUGAUCAUCUAGUAGACCUAACAUUAAAUGACUAGCAUGGUGGAGGAAACAAUUCCUUGGAUGUGUUUAUUUUUUGUUGACAGAGUUGCCAGUAAAAACCUCAAGAAAGACUUCUAUGAAUCUCUGGACCACCACACCACCCGUCUCAUUGACCUCUUCAAAUCCAGAAAAGGAGUCCUAGGCCAAUCACUUGAUCGCCUCCUCCAGCCAAUCUAUACACAAACAUCACCACAACACGCACUGCUGUCCUACAGUGUCUUCCCCUGUAUCUUGGAGAUAAUUCCAGCGAAUUCUUCCUCAGCUGCUCAGUAAGUACAUUUAUAAUAAUGAUCAUAAUACCAUCACACAGCGCUUAUUUUAUGACAUCAUCAGACCUCAGGUUUAGUUCUCAGAUUUUUCUCAGAACUUUCCAGCCUCACAAGUCUUUAGUUGCUUCAAGUCCUGCAAUGGGCAUAACAGCAUGACACAACACAGUCUCAGACAGAAUAGUAAACUUUGCUAAAACUCAGGUCAAGUUAGGUAUUACAGCAUGUAUUCAUGUAUGUAUUAUACUUUGCAAGCCAAACGUG